Molecule: ribosomal RNA, 481 nt
Filed under: Globigerinita minuta
Lineage: Eukaryota; Foraminifera; Rotaliida; Globigerinitidae
Description: SSU rRNA
Rfam family: Eukaryotic small subunit ribosomal RNA
Source: RNAcentral
CUUACCGGGUCCGGACACACUGAGGAUUGACAGACAUACCUUUGCCACUACAAUAAAAAGCAACCUCUAAGCCAUAUGCGCAAGCGGUCACUUCAAAAAGCAGCAGCACUUAAGGAAAGACGCUAGAUCUUUCAUGAUUAUGUGAUAAGUGGUGCAUGGCCGUUCUUAGUUCGUGGAGUGAUCUGUCUGCUUAAUUGCGUUUCGCAAUAUAUAAAUCUGCGCAGUGCCCUUUUUCGCUGGGUGCGGCGUAAGAUCUCGAAAGCAACGAACGAGAUCGCAACCUUUAGUUGACCUAUGUAGCGGGUCAUAAGAAACUAAACUAAAGGGACUGCUGCCAUAUGUGCUUAAACCAGAGGAAGGUUGCGGCAAUAACAGGUCUGUGAUGCCCUUAGAUGUUCCGGGCUGCACACGUGCUACAAUGAUCAUUUCAUUAAGCAUAAAGCGUAGGCAACGGUAACUUCUAUUACCCCAGCUAUACACA